This 253-nucleotide ribosomal RNA is filed under the name uncultured bacterium. RNAcentral describes it as "partial 16S ribosomal RNA". It matches the Rfam family "Bacterial small subunit ribosomal RNA", at positions 524 to 776 of the family's 1533-position model. The record is from RNAcentral.
UACAGAGGUCCCGAGCGUUGUUCGGAUUCACUGGGCGUAAAGGGUGCGUAGGUGGUGAGGUAAGUCGGAUGUGAAAUCUCCGGGCUCAACCCGGAAAUGGCAUUGGAAACUACCUUGCUGGAGGAUUUGAGGGGGAUUGGAAUACUUGGUGUAGCAGUGAAAUGCGUAGAUAUCAAGUGGAACACCAGUGGCGAAGGCGAAUCCCUGGAAAAUACCUGAACACUGAGGCACGAAAGCUAGGGGAGCAAACAGG